AGAGUUUGAUCCUGGCUCAGAAUCAACGCUGGCGGCGUGCCUAACACAUGCAAGUCGCACGAGAAAGUCCGCAAGGAUGAGUAAAGUGGCGCACGGGUGAGUAACACGUAGCUAACCUACCCUCGAGUGUGGGAUAACCUGGGGAAACUCGGGCUAAUACCGCAUAACACCCUGGCGACGAUGUCGCUGGGGCCAAAGGU
This 200-nucleotide ribosomal RNA is filed under the name uncultured bacterium. RNAcentral describes it as "partial 16S ribosomal RNA". It matches the Rfam family "Bacterial small subunit ribosomal RNA", at positions 8 to 208 of the family's 1533-position model. The record is from RNAcentral.